This is an RNA transcript of Cucurbita moschata (crookneck pumpkin), 2126 nucleotides long. It is a transcript of the gene named protein Brevis radix-like 4, with no coding region annotated. The record is from RefSeq and is a predicted model, not a curated record. NCBI's taxonomy places the organism in Eukaryota, Viridiplantae, Streptophyta, Magnoliopsida, Cucurbitales, Cucurbitaceae. The transcript is spliced from 8 exons.
AAAUUGAAGACAUGCCAUAAUUAUUGCAAUUGCCCGGCAACCAGCAAUUUGUUUGACGCUCAUUUGCGCUUCCUUUCACUUCCCGCCGGAGUAUGCGCCAUUUCCUCUCCGAUCACACGGAAUCGCUGGAGCUUAGUCUAUGGUUGGAUUGAAUCAGGCUGAGGGUGAACAGCGGGGCUGCCUUGUUUUCAUCGCGUCAAAGCUGUACCAGAACAACCGAUUCCUAAUUUUUCAGGAGAAACUAAGGAUUCAAGACGUCCGAAAGCGAGGGCAGCGAUUUGACGUUCACUUCGCUGCUUGAAAUUGGGCUGCUGGAGAAGUACUGUAAGAGGUGAAAAUGCUGACAUGCAUAGUUCGUUCUAAGAAACUCGGAGAUGGCUCCUUGACUCAAAUUGAAGAAUCGGACUCCGUCAAUGGACCUGGGAAUAAGCAACAAUCUGUCAAAUCUCUGACAGGUCAGCUCAAAGACAUGGCGUUAAAAGCCUCCGGAUCGUACCGAACUUGCAACCCUUGCGCAGGGCCGAUACCGCAGAGUCGACUCAAGAACUGCAGCUCACAGUCAGAUGCCGACUCAGAGCGGUUCAAGUGGGCUUACAAGCGAUCCGGGAGCUUGAGCUCGACGAAAACGAGAACAUGGGGCAAGGAGAUGGAAGCGAGGCUGAAGGGGAUUUCAAGCGGAGAAGGAACCCCCAAUUCACUGAGUAGGCGCCGAGUCGACCCAGUUGUGUACGUCGAGGAGAGCGAACCAAAGGAGUGGGUGGCGCAGGUGGAACCCGGUGUGUUAAUCACAUUCGUUUCACUUCCUCGAGGAGGGAAUGAUCUGAAACGGAUACGUUUCAGUCGAGACGUAUUCAAUAAAUGGCAAGCUCAAAGAUGGUGGGCAGAAAACUAUGAUAGAGUUAUGGAACUAUACAAUGUUCAGAGGUUCAACCGGCAAGCCUUUCCUCUUCCAACCCCACCGAGAUCCGAGGACGAGCAAAGCUCAAAAAUAGAAUCUGUGGAACACAGCCCUGUAACACCUCCACUAACUGCAGAACGCUUGCCUCGCAAUCUCCACCGUCCCAUUGGAGCGGGUGUGAGUUAUUCAUCCCCAGAUUCACUUGAAUAUCAGCCAAUGCAGUAUCGGCAGUACCAAGAUUCAGGUCUCACCUCCACUCCUAAACUCUCUAGCAUCAGUGGCGCAAAGACAGAAACAUCUUCCAUUGAUGCAUCCAUGAGAAGCAGUUCAUCAAGGGAUGCAGAUCGUUCAGGAGAACUAUCCAUCAGUAACGCUAGUGAUCUUGAGUCUGAAUGGGUCGAACAAGACGAGGCAGGGGUUUAUAUUACAAUCAGAGCUUUGCCUGGCGGCAAAAGGGAACUCAGAAGAGUCAGAUUCAGCCGGGAAAAAUUUGGGGAGAUGCAUGCUAGAUUGUGGUGGGAAGAAAAUCGAGCCAGAAUACACGAGCAAUACUUGUAAGAGAAUCAGUGCAAAAAAUCUGGCAACGUGCGCUUUUCAAAAGUCCGAAAGAAGUGGUUUGAAACAAGGGAAAAUGACAAAACAGGGGAAACUCAAAUUCAACUGGUUGCCUUCGCAGACAGGCUACUAUUCCACCAAGAAUGCUUUGUCCUGCUUUUGAUAAUCAUAGAAUCCACAAUGAUUUCAGGUAUGGAAAACUUCCCAUCUGAACAAACAAAUCUGGUUUAUGUUGGGCACUGCAGAAAGAGAAACUGGAAGGAUCAGCAGAGGAGACAAGGAUGCAGAAGAAAUGAAAAGAAGAGGUAAUUGGGGAGACAGGUAGUGAGUCAAAAUAAUUGGAGGAACAGGCAAAGAUUGCAAAAACUAAACCGUGAAGAUUCUUGUGGUACAGAAGAACUGAAGGUUGAUAUGUAGUUUAGGAGUGGACAGUGAAGCAGAGGGUGAAAUCUGUGGAAGACAAAUGUUAGUGGAGACUGAAGAGUGUUUGUUUCUCAACAACCGACAUGGAAAGAUUCUCAGAAAUGAGGAAGAUUGUAGUAUGCAAAAUUGGCACAAAACAAGCUAUUUCAUAUGACAAUGCCAUUGCCUGUAAUGAGUAAUGGAAAGCUGUAGACAGGCAGGAAACUUAAACCCUUUGUCUUGGGCGUAGGGUGCAUUUUUGGUCACCUCA